RNAcentral lists this ribosomal RNA (500 nucleotides) under Spiroplasma endosymbiont of Heliconius timareta. RNAcentral's name for it is "bacterial SSU rRNA". It matches the Rfam family "Bacterial small subunit ribosomal RNA", at positions 1 to 500 of the family's 1533-position model. Lineage: Bacteria; Bacillati; Mycoplasmatota; Mollicutes; Entomoplasmatales; Spiroplasmataceae. The record is from RNAcentral.
CGCUAGAGUUUGAUCCUGGCUCAGGAUUAACGCUAGCGGCAUGCCUAAUACAUGCAAGUCGAACGAAAGUAGCAAUACUUUAGUGGCGAACGGGUGAGUAACACGUAUCUAACCUACCAUUUAGUGAGGAAUAACUGUUGGAAACAACAGCUAAUACCGCAUAUGUUAUUUAUUUGCAAUGAUAAAUAAUGAAAGGAGCAUUUGCUUCGCUAAUUGAUGGGGAUGCGGCGCAUUAACUAGUUGGUAAGGUAAUGGCUUACCAAGGUAACGAUGCGUAGCCGAUCUGAGAGGAUGAACGGCCACAUUGGGACUGAGACACGGCCCAAACUUCUACGGAAGGCAGCAGUAGGGAAUUUUUCACAAUGGGCGAAAGCCUGAUGGAGCAAUGCCGCGUGACUGAUGAAGGUCUUCGGAUUGUAAAGGUCUGUUGUAAGAGAAGAAGUGCUAGAAUAGGAAAUGAUUUUAGUAUCGACCAUACCUUACCAGAAAGCCACGGCUAA